RNAcentral lists this ribosomal RNA (253 nucleotides) under uncultured bacterium. RNAcentral describes it as "partial 16S ribosomal RNA". It matches the Rfam family "Bacterial small subunit ribosomal RNA", at positions 524 to 776 of the family's 1533-position model. The record is from RNAcentral.
UACGUAGGGUGCAAGCGUUGUCCGGAAUUAUUGGGCGUAAAGAGCUCGUAGGCGGUCUGUCGCGUCGGCUGUGAAAACCUGGGGCUUAACUCCGGGCCUGCAGCCGAUACGGGCAGACUAGAGUACGGCAGGGGAGACUGGAAUUCCUGGUGUAGCGGUGAAAUGCGCAGAUAUCAGGAGGAACACCGGUGGCGAAGGCGGGUCUCUGGGCCGAAACUGACGCUGAGGAGCGAAAGCGUGGGGAGCAAACAGG